Molecule: long non-coding RNA, 2045 nt
Organism: Heterocephalus glaber (naked mole-rat)
Lineage: Eukaryota; Metazoa; Chordata; Mammalia; Rodentia; Bathyergidae
Source: Ensembl
GGCCGCCGCCACCACUGAAGACCCGCUCUGUGCUCCGGGGUGACGACGUCCUCCUGCCCUGUGAUCGGCCGUCCAACCUGGCCCGGGCCUUGUGGCUGCUCAAUGGGAGCAAAAGCCUGAGCGAUGGGCAGGACGGCUACCGUGUGGGCGUCGACGGGCUGCUGGUGACCGACACACAGCCCAAGCACAGCGGCACCUAUGGCUGCUUUGCUGAGGAGAACGGCCUGCGAAUCCUGCUGGCCGCCUACCGCCUCACGGUGCGGCCAGCCACUCCUGCCCCGGCCCCACAAGCCCCCGCUGCGAACGAGGCGCACCCGGCCCCAGACCCGAGGCUGCUCUACCUGCUUGCCAUUGCUGCCCUCGGGGGCCUCUGCCUUGUCUUGGCCUUCUCCCUCCUCUACGUGGCUUGUCUGCGCGGAGGGGCAGGAGGGCGCCGACGGAAGUACUCGCUGGGGCGGGCUGGCCGGGCAGGGGCUCUGCCGUGCAGCUGCAGACGGUCUCAGGCCAGUGUCCCGAGGAGGAAGACGAGGGCCAGGAUGGGGACGGGGCUGCAGGCCUGGGAGGCAGCUGCCUGCAGACCAUCCCUGGAGAGGCCCCAGCCCCGCCCCCGCCGCCGCCGCCGCCCCCGGCUGAACUGACCAAUGGGCUGGCCGCCCUGCCCCGCCGGCUUCGAAGGGUGAAUGGCAGCAGCUAUGUGCUGCUGAGGCAGAGCAGCAACGGGGUGCCGGCAGGGCCUUGCUCCUUUGCCGAAGAGCUCAGCCGCAUCCUGGAGAAGAGGAAGCACGCACAGCUGGUAGAGCAGCUGGACGAGAGCUCUGUGUGAGCCUGGCCUCCCCAGCAGAUGCUCUGGGCCCCUGCCUCCCGGGCACACCCAGCCCUCCACACCCUCGCUCCAUGCCCUUCUCCCGACUCCUUGAUUCUCAGUAGGGCUAGCCAGUUAGGCCAGCCAAAGCCCCUCCUCAGUCUCCAAGACCCACCUGUGAGCAGCCCAGGCCCACCGGUGCUCCUCAGAGGGCUCUGCAGGUCCAGAUGGCCGCAGUGUUACCACCCUCUGCAUGUCCCUGUGUGCUGGAUACUCCUGAAGCCACACAAAACCUCUGCCAGCCACUCGGCCCUGCGUACAUUCACACGUGCACAUGGAAGAAUGUGUCAGCUGGGCUGCCAGGCCCCACUCCCAUGUUCUCCCUGUGCAUUCUUGUGCUUCAUCCUUCGGGAUUUGGGGUACCCUCCUGGUUGUCACAUCCCUUUCCCAGUCCCAGGUGGUGACCCCAUUGGCAAGGGCUUGGCCACAGGCCAGCCUGGGAGGUAAGGUGGCAUCAGUCUCCUUCUCGUGCAGCCCUUGCGAGUCCUCUUACCCAUUCCCUCGGUCACACAGAAGCGUGACAGGCACCUCCGGGCAUGUCCCUUCCCUGGGCACCUGUGCUGCACGUGCUAACACUUCUACCCACGUGCACCUUCUGAGCCUCCCUUGCUGCCAGACUUGUGUCUGUUGGGUUAGGUCCAUGGACAUUUCAAAGGGAGAUUCCGCCUCCUUUAGCUGACCUUGGAGACCCUUCCCUGGACGGGUGACCAACACUGCACUCAUUGAGCCAGCCUCCCUUCUGGGGACCAAGCAUUUGCUUCCCCUAGACCAAAGCAGGGGAAAGAACUGUCUCACCUGGCAUACAAAGCCCAUUCUUGGAACUAUGCAAAGGGCAGAGGCUAGGAAUUUGGAUGCUUGGCUCCCACUCCUGUCCUACCUCACCGGGGCACUUUUAAGGUCCAGGGGCCUCUGAAGUCUCCAGGCCCAUAUGGUACAAUCAAUCCAGAUUGAGCCCAUUCCCUUUGGGUGAGGAUGACUGUUAUUUUUGUAGCUGAGAACAUGGAAUCCCACGAGUUUUUACUGUCCCUCACCCAACCUCUCCCACCUCCAGCCCACAAUGAAUGUAUUUAUUGUGAGAAUGGCUGUAUUGGAGGAAUGCCCUCACUCGGCCCCAGGUGGGUGGAACAGGCAUGUGACAGUGGGGAGCCUGGGCUCAGCUCCUCCCAAUGUUGGUUAAUAAAUG